RNAcentral lists this ribosomal RNA (451 nucleotides) under uncultured organism. RNAcentral describes it as "partial 16S ribosomal RNA". It matches the Rfam family "Bacterial small subunit ribosomal RNA", at positions 330 to 797 of the family's 1533-position model. The record is from RNAcentral.
CGUACACUCCUACGGGAGGCAGCAGUGGGGAAUAUUGGACAAUGGGCGCAAGCCUGAUCCAGCCAUGCCGCGUGAGUGAUGAAGGCCCUAGGGUUGUAAAGCUCUUUCACCGGUGAAGAUAAUGACGGUAACCGGAGAAGAAGCCCCGGCUAACUUCGUGCCAGCAGCCGCGGUAAUACGAAGGGGGCUAGCGUUGUUCGGAUUUACUGGGCGUAAAGCGCACGUAGGCGGACUAUUAAGUCAGGGGUGAAAUCCCGGGGCUCAACCCCGGAACUGCCUUUGAUACUGGUAGUCUUGAGUUCGAGAGAGGUGAGUGGAAUUCCGAGUGUAGAGGUGAAAUUCGUAGAUAUUCGGAGGAACACCAGUGGCGAAGGCGGCUCACUGGCUCGAUACUGACGCUGAGGUGCGAAAGCGUGGGGAGCAAACAGGAUUAGAAACCCCAGUAGUCCCA